UGGGGAAUAUUGGACAAUGGGCGCAAGCCUGAUCCAGCAAUGCCGCGUGUGUGAAGAAGGCCUUCGGGUUGUAAAGCACUUUUAUCAGGAGCGAAACGCUGUCGGCUAAUACCCGGCGGAACUGACGGUACCUGAGGAAUAAGCACCGGCUAACUUCGUGUCAGCAGCCGCGGUAAUACGAAGGGUGCAAGCGUUAAUCGGAAUUACUGGGCGUAAAGCGUGCGUAGGCGGUUUCUUAAGUCUGCUGUGAAAUCCCCGGGCUCAACCUGGGAAUGGCAGUGGAUACUGGGAGGCUAGAGUGUGUCAGAGGGUGGUGGAAUUCCCGGUGUAGCGGUGAAAUGCGUAGAGAUCGGGAGGAACAUCAGUGGCGAAGGCGGCCACCUGGGACAACACUGACGCUGAGGCACGAAAGCGUGGGGAGCAAACAGGAUUAGAUACCCUGGUAGUCCACGCCCUAAAAGCGAUGCGAACUGGAUGUUGGUCUCAACUCGGAGAUCAGUGUCGAAGCUAACGCGUUAAGUUCGCCGCCUGGGGAGUACGGUCGCAAGACUGAAACUCAAAGGAAUUGACGGGGUCAUAGCUGUUUCCUG
Molecule: ribosomal RNA, 590 nt
Filed under: uncultured bacterium
Lineage: Bacteria
Description: partial 16S ribosomal RNA
Rfam family: Bacterial small subunit ribosomal RNA
Source: RNAcentral